Long non-coding RNA from Mus spicilegus (steppe mouse), 1607 nucleotides. The record is from Ensembl. Lineage: Eukaryota; Metazoa; Chordata; Mammalia; Rodentia; Muridae.
CAACCUUUUAUUCUCAGAAUAGACUAUUCCAGUUUUUACAGACUUAUACGGAAGGUUUAGAUUCAGUUAGCUUCAGCCUCGCCAGAACUAAAGCGCUAGUAAAUAUGGGGUGGUGUGGAGGGGAGACUAGAACACCUGCUGAGAGACUUCUUUAUGGGACAGAGAAGCUGCACCGGCGACAUUGCAGCAAUAUGGUUGCCUAAACAAGGCCUGAGCAGUGACACCACCAGGUGACGCCAAGGAGGAGGCGGAAAAUCACACAAGGCCCCGCCCCUAGAUGAAGAGCUUCAGGCAGUUAAUGGCUGCUGAGAGAGAAUCAGUGUUCCUCAGGGAGGAGUCCUCUUACUUGGACUUUCCAACACCACAGUGCUCAGUCCUAAAACCAUAUUCAUUGGAGCAACACUGAAUUAACUCAGCAGGUUGCGUUUAUAUGCUUAUACAUAUUAACAAUUAAAAACAAGUAGUAUUAUAUAAUGUGUAACGCAAACCAGAAACAAUCAAAUCUGAAAAGGAAGCCUAUUUUCCAAACUCACCAAUAAGGAUGAAAUGGCAACUGGGCUGAGGUUGAGAAACUUGGAUUACUGGUCGCCCAUAGGCCCCGCCCCGGCCCCGCCCCCACAACCCUUGGAGCUAGUCCCGUAACCAAGGCAACGAACGCACUGGCUGGGUCGGGUGGGGAAGCUGACUCAUGCAGGCUGACGGUCACGCGUGGGCUCAUAGUGUGCGCUGCGGCAGCCUGGGCAUCUCACAUGCCCCACCGCGACUGUGUAGCUGCUGAAUCCUCAGCCAGUCCUAGUGGUCCGCCACUCGGGGCCUUCCCCUCGCAGCUUGUGCUUCGGGCGUUAACACUAAGAGAGACACAUCAGCUUCUGGCAGCACCCCCAUCCUAUUCCAAAGAAAAUGAGGACGAAAGAAAGAAUAUCUACCUGGAGUUUGCUUCAAAUGUGGCCAUUGGUCAAAAAAGAACUGUCCCUUACCUCGACUGCUGACAGCAUGCUGUCUAAACUUGGACAAGCAGGAGAUUGGGAAGCCAAUUGCCCAACUUUGCAGAGACCAGGUAAGCUGUCACAGUCUGAGGACACUCAAGGUCUAGAGAGAGGACCAGAAGGAAUGUGGGUUGUCAUGGCAACCGCUGUCCGUGUCUGCCAUCUUAGAGGUGAGUCCUCCAAUUCCAGUCUUGCAUCAGACAUUUGCAGCCCCGGCCGAUUGUCUGACUGCAACACAACAAAGCGACUCUUGGACUGUGACACAUAGAAAGUGAGAGAAUGUUUAAGGAAGCGAAAUGUUUGGAGCCAGCUCAGCAGGUAAAGAUGGGGGACACCAAUACCAAGCCUGAUCACCUACCUGACUUCAGUCUCCAGGACCCACAUGGAAGAAGCAGAAACCAGACUUCCAUAAAUUCUCCUCACACCUUGACACUUGCCCUGUGGAGUGUUCAUGUUCAUACACAGACAGAUAUACAGACACACACAUACAUGCACCCACUCAUAUAUGCACACAUGCACACAUACAAGCACCCACCCACAUACACACACACACAUGCACACACACACAUACACAUACACACACAAAAUAAAUAAAAUUUAGUGUUACUAGGUAUAGUUUGG